AUAGCGUAAGUUCAUACUGCUCGUAUAAAUUUGAGGAUAUGGCUCAAAAGUUUCUACCAGGCGACCGUAAAUUACCUGACUACGAGUGAAAUUGUACCUAGG
Molecule: non-coding RNA, 102 nt
Filed under: Propionispora sp. 2/2-37
Lineage: Bacteria; Bacillati; Bacillota; Negativicutes; Selenomonadales; Sporomusaceae
Also listed under: 1 other name
Description: Purine riboswitch aptamer
Rfam family: Purine riboswitch aptamer
About the family: Riboswitches are metabolite binding domains within certain messenger RNAs that serve as precision sensors for their corresponding targets. Allosteric rearrangement of mRNA structure is mediated by ligand binding, and this results in modulation of gene expression. A class of riboswitches that selectively recognises guanine and becomes saturated at concentrations as low as 5 nM.
Source: Rfam by way of RNAcentral